RNAcentral lists this ribosomal RNA (494 nucleotides) under uncultured bacterium. Its description in RNAcentral is "partial 16S ribosomal RNA". It matches the Rfam family "Bacterial small subunit ribosomal RNA", at positions 28 to 507 of the family's 1533-position model. The record is from RNAcentral.
GACGAACGCUGGCGGCGUGCUUAACACAUGCAAGUCGAACGGUGAAGCGCCUUCCUUUUUGGUGGGUGGGGAUGAGUGGCGAACGGGUGAGUAACACGUGAGUAACCUGCCCCCUUCUUCUGGAUAACCGCAUGAAAGUGUGGCUAAUACGGGAUAUUCUGGGUCUGUCGCAUGAUGGGUCUGGGAAAGAUAUGGUUUCGGUGGGGGAUGGGCUCGCGUCCUAUCAGCUUGUUGGUGGGGUGAUGGCCUACCAAGGCGGUGACGGGUAGCCGGCCUGAGAGGGUGGCCGGCCACACUGGGGCUGGGCCACGGCCCAGACUCCUACGGGAGGCAGCAGUGGGGAAUAUUGCACAAUGGGAGCAAGCCUGAUGCAGCGACGCCGCGUGGGGGAUGGAGGCCUUCGGGUUGUGAACCUCUUUCGCCAGUGAAGCAGGCCUGCCUUGUUUGUGGGUGGGUUGACGGUAGCUGGAUAAGAAGCGCCGGCUAACUACGUG